GACAGAGGUGCCAAGCGUUAGGCGGAAUCACUGGGCUUAAAGCGUGUGUAGGUGGAUGUCUAAGUACCUUGUGAAAUCCCAUGGCUCAACCAUGGAACUGCUUGGUAUACUGGAUGUCUUGAGCCACUUAGGGGCUACCGGAACAAAUGGUGGAGCGGUGAAAUGCGUAGAUAUCAUUUGGAACGCCAAUGGUGAAAACAGGUAGCUGGGAGUGUGCUGACACUGAGACACGAAAGCCAGGGGAGCGAACGGG
Molecule: ribosomal RNA, 253 nt
Filed under: uncultured bacterium
Lineage: Bacteria
Description: partial 16S ribosomal RNA
Rfam family: Bacterial small subunit ribosomal RNA
Source: RNAcentral